This is a long non-coding RNA of Oenanthe melanoleuca, 1637 nucleotides long. RefSeq lists it as uncharacterized. The transcript is spliced from 2 exons. The record is from RefSeq and is a predicted model, not a curated record. NCBI's taxonomy places the organism in Eukaryota, Metazoa, Chordata, Aves, Passeriformes, Muscicapidae.
GCCUGUGAGUUAUGGAGGAUUUAUGGGGUCAGCUAUGGGAUUUGGGGUCACUGAUGAUGUUUGUGAUCAGGGCUGGAGCAUAGGGCACAGUGCCUGUGAGUUAUGGAGGAUUUAGGGGGUCAGCUAUGGGAUUUGGGGUCACUGAUGAUGUUUGUGAUCAGGGCUGGGGCACAGGGCACAGUGCCUGUGAGUUAUGGGGUCUCCUAUGGGAUUUGGAGUUAGUUCUGGAAUUUGGGAUCAGUUAUGAGGUCAUUUAUGGGGUUUGAGAUCAAUUCUGGGAUUUGGGAUCGGGGCCAGGGCACAGUGUCUGUGAGUGACAGGGGAUUUAUGGGGACAGGUAUGGGAUUUGAGGUCAGGUAUGGGAUUUAGAAUGGGAGCUGAGGCACAGGGCACAGUGCCAGUGAGUUGUGGGGCCAUUUAUGGGGUCACUUAUGGGGUCAGCUAUGGGAUUUGUUGUCAAUUAUGGGAUUUGGGGUCAGCUAUGGGAUUUGAGGUCAGUUAUGGGGUAAUUUAUGGGAUUUGGGAUUGGGGAAUUUGGGGUUCUGUCUGUGCCUUUGGGAUACUUUGAGGUGUUUUUUGGGGUAAUUUGGGGUGUUUUAGGAUAAUUUGGGGUUCUCUGUUCCUUUGGAAUAAUUUGGGGUGAACAUUUCUGAAUUUUUGAGGGAACAUUCCCAAAUUUUGGAGGAAACAUUCCCAGGUUUUGGGGAACAUUCCCGGGUUUUUUGGGAACCAUUCCCAGAUUCUGGGGGGAACAUUCUCUGGUGUUUGGGCUACCAUUCCUAGGUUUUCUGGGGGCCAUUCCCAGGUUUUCUGGAGGAACGUUCCUGAAUUUUUGGGGGCAAUAUUCCUGGGUUUUUUGGGGGACUAUUUCUGAAUUUUUGGGGAAUUUUUCUGAAUUUUUGAGGGAACAUUUGCAGAAUUUUUGGGGGAACAUUCCUGGUUUUUUGAGGGAACAUUUCUGGGUUUUUGGAGACCAUUGCUAGGUUUUUUGGGGACCGUUCCUGGGCUUUUGAGGGAACAUUCCUGGAGUUUUUUAGGGAACAUUUCUGAAUUUUGGGGGACAUAUCUGAAUUUUUGAGGGAAGACUCCUGAACUUUUUGGGGUACCAUUCCUGAAUUUUUGUGGUACCAUUCUCGGAAUUUUUGGGGACCAUUCUCGUGUUUUUUGGGGUACCACUCCCAGGUUUUUGGGGUAUCAUUCCUAGAUUUUUUUCAGGACCAUUCCCUGAUUUUUUGGUACUAUUCCCAAACUUUUUGGGGUACCAUUCCUGAAUUUUUGGAGUACUAUUCCUGGUUUUUGGGCUAUCCGUGGCCCUAUUCCCCUGUGCCAGGUUCCUGGGGUUCAAGGAGCUGCACCUGGUGCCCGGCGCCACGACAUCGCCUUGGUGGAGUUGGACACCGAGGUGCAGGCGGGCACCGCCCACGAGGCCCUGCAGGGCUCCAAGAUCACCCAGAGCAAUGCCACAAAGAUCUCCUUCACCAAAGAGUGACCCCAAAACCUUCCCAAACACCCCCAAACCCAAAAAAAACCCGCCUGGAAUAUCCCAAAAUCCCAGAGAAACACCCCAAAAUCCCAGAGAAAUGCCUCAAAAACCUCUCCUGAAUAUCCCAGAACUGCCCCAAAACAUCCCAGAAUCC